GGGGAAUCUUGCACAAUGGGGGCAACCCUGAUGCAGCGACGCCGCGUGAGCGAUGAAGCCCUUCGGGGUGUAAAGCUCUUUCGGCUGGAACGAUGAUGACGGUACCAGCAGAAGAAGCUGCGGCUAACUACGUGCCAGCAGCCGCGGUAAUACGUAGGCAGCGAGCGUUGUUCGGAGUUACCGGGCGUAAAGAGUGCGUAGGCGGUUGGCUAAGUUUGGUGUGAAAUCUCCCGGCUCAACUGGGAGGGUGCGCCGAAAACUGGCUGGCUGGAGUAUGGGAGAGGCAAGCGGAAUUCCUGGUGUAGCGGUGAAAUGCGUAGAUAUCAGGAGGAACACCUGCGGUGUAGACGGCUUGCUGGACCAUGACUGACGCUGAGGCACGAAAGCGUGGGGAGCAAAC
RNAcentral lists this ribosomal RNA (400 nucleotides) under uncultured bacterium. Its description in RNAcentral is "bacterial SSU rRNA". It matches the Rfam family "Bacterial small subunit ribosomal RNA", at positions 356 to 773 of the family's 1533-position model. The record is from RNAcentral.